This 69-nucleotide transfer RNA is filed under the name Alosa alosa (allis shad). RNAcentral's name for it is "tRNA-OTHER". It matches the Rfam family "tRNA". From Rfam's summary of the family: Transfer RNA (tRNA) molecules are approximately 80 nucleotides in length. Lineage: Eukaryota; Metazoa; Chordata; Actinopteri; Clupeiformes; Clupeidae. The record is from RNAcentral.
GCAUUGGUGGUUCAGUGGUAGAAAUUCGCCUGCCAGCGGGAGGCCCGGGUUCGAUUCCCGGCCAAUGCA